Molecule: ribosomal RNA, 254 nt
Filed under: uncultured bacterium
Lineage: Bacteria
Description: partial 16S ribosomal RNA
Rfam family: Bacterial small subunit ribosomal RNA
Source: RNAcentral
UACGUAGGCAGCAAGCGUUGUUCGGAGUUACUGGGCGUAAAGGGUGUGUAGGCGGUUAUUUAAGUUUGGUGUGAAAUCUCCCGGCUCAACCGGGAGGGUGCGCCGAAUACUGAAUGACUUGGAGUGCGGGAGAGGAAAGUGGAAUUCCUGGUGUAGCGGUGAAAUGCGUAGAUAUCGAGAGGAACACCUGCGGCGAAGGCGGGUUGCUGGGCCGACACUGACGCUGAGGCGCGAAAGCCAGGGGAGCGAACGGG